This is a long non-coding RNA of Talpa occidentalis (Iberian mole), 349 nucleotides long. RefSeq lists it as uncharacterized. The transcript has 4 exons. The record is from RefSeq and is a predicted model, not a curated record. Lineage: Eukaryota; Metazoa; Chordata; Mammalia; Eulipotyphla; Talpidae.
CAUCCUCUGAAAAAUGUCCAGAAGACAAAACUAACCUCCAGGCUGAAGGUCCCACCACUAGGACAGUGAAGGUUGGCAAAACCCAGCAGAAUGAUCCCAGUCUUCCACAAACAUCCUCUGAAAAAUGUCCAGAAGACAAAACUAACCUCCAGGCUGAAGGUCCCACCACUAGGACAGUGAAGGUGACUUUGGCGAGCUUUGGAGACCACAGGGCAUAUGAGGUUGGCAAAACCCAGCAGAAUGAUCCCAGUCUUCCACAAACAUCCUCUGAAAAAUGUCCAGAAGACAAAACUAACCUCCAGGCUGAAGGUCCCACCACUAGGACAGUGAAGGUUGGCAAAACCCAGCA